This 29-nucleotide non-coding RNA is filed under the name Mus musculus (house mouse). The record is from RNAcentral. Lineage: Eukaryota; Metazoa; Chordata; Mammalia; Rodentia; Muridae.
UGAGGGGUAAAUGGAUUCUAUUGGCUGAG